UACGAAGGGGGCUAGCGUUGCUCGGAAUCACUGGGCGUAAAGCGCACGUAGGCGGACUUUUAAGUCAGGGGUGAAAUCCUGGAGCUCAACUCCAGAACUGCCUUUGAUACUGGAAGUCUUGAGUCCGGAAGAGGUAAGUGGAACUGCGAGUGUAGAGGUGAAAUUCGUAGAUAUUCGCAAGAACACCAGUGGCGAAGGCGGCUUACUGGUCCGGUACUGACGCUGAGGUGCGAAAGCGUGGGGAGCGAACAGG
RNAcentral lists this ribosomal RNA (253 nucleotides) under uncultured bacterium. Its description in RNAcentral is "partial 16S ribosomal RNA". It matches the Rfam family "Bacterial small subunit ribosomal RNA", at positions 524 to 776 of the family's 1533-position model. The record is from RNAcentral.